Molecule: ribosomal RNA, 497 nt
Filed under: uncultured bacterium
Lineage: Bacteria
Description: partial 16S ribosomal RNA
Rfam family: Bacterial small subunit ribosomal RNA
Source: RNAcentral
GACGAACGCUGGCGGCGUGCCUAAUACAUGCAAGUUGAGCGCUGAAGGUUGGUACUUGUCCCAACUGGAUGAGCAGCGUACGGGUGAGUAACGCGUGGGGAAUCUGCCUUUGAGCGGGGGACAACAUUUUGAAACGAAUGCUAAUACCGCAUAAAAAUUUUAAACACAAGCUUUAAGUUUGAAAGAUGCAAUUGCAUCACUCAAAGAUGAUCCCGCGUUGUAUUAGCUAGUUGGUGAGGUAAAGGCUCACCAAGGCGAUGAUACAUAGCCGACCUGAGAGGGUGAUCAGCCACAACGGGACUGAGGAAACGCCCAAGCUCCUGAGGGGAGCAGGAGUAGGGAAACUUCGGCAAAUGAGGGAAGUCUGAACGAGCAACGGCGCGGGAGUGAAGGAAGUUUUCGGAUCGUAAAACUCUUUUGGUAGAGAAGGACAAUGGUGAGAGUGAAACACGCAUCAAGUGACGGUAACUACACAGUAAGGGACGGCUAACUACGUG